AUGGAGGGGAAGGGGGAGGCCCCAGCAAGCUAGGCUGCCCGGCUGCCUCCCGUGGAGCAGCCCAGCCCCGGAGGCUGCUGAGCCAGCCUCGGCUUUGGCAGGGUCGGAUCAGCUGCUGCAGCCGGUGUCCUCUCCCGAGAGCAUAUGUAGAGGUCACGCCCUCUACCCCUCCACUCCUAGUACCGCAAACGUCGGGCUGCACGAGACGCUGGAGGGCUAGGAGGAGCCCAAGAAAACCUGCGAGCUGAAUGAAAACGGUUUAAUUUCCUGUAUCAUUAACAACAUUUUCUAUAACCUCAGUCUCAUGAGGCUGCUGCCUUUCUGAUACGGCUUAUUCACAACAAGAGCCACAUCACUCCACUAGAUCUAGGUGUAAGACUAGAGAUGGGAAAGCACUUGCAUUCGCCAACUCAAAUCAUAACAUAUGAAUUAACAUAAAUCGUCAUUUGGCAGGUUAGAAGAAUACACCACUUUUUUUUUAAUGGAUGGGGUGAGAACCACAGGUGCUGACUUUUGUUUUUGCCUGUAGGUACUCCUCUCUAACCCCUCUCUCCACCUUUCCACGGCGAGUGGCAGACCGGGUCUCUGGGGGAAGAGGCCAAGAGUGGCAGGAUCUGAGAGGGGGAAAGUGGGGAGAGGCCAGGCAGGGCCAUGGUCUGGGUGGCUGGUCCCACAAAUGAUUAAUCUGGCCCUGUAGGUGCUGAGCACCCCCUAUUUUUUUUCAGUGGGUGCUUGAGCCCCAGAGCACCCACAGAGUCAACUCCUAUGGUGGGAACAUCACUGCAGCAGAUUAAGACCAUACGCACCUAGCUUCCACCAAGUGAGAGAGGGGAAAUACAGAAGUCUUUUUAGUAGCUUUAGAAUAAAUUGUAUUUCAGUGCCCCAAAGAUCUAAAGGAAAGGAAGAACCGCUGGCAACAGAGAAGAUGGCUAGAGGUGGGAGGAAUUGAGAAUAUGCCACUGGCCCACAAAUAAAAAAAACGCAGAGUUCAAACUAAACUAUGUGGUCUGUUAACAUCACUGGUGUCCACGGACUCUGAAGAUACCUCAUCUCCCCUCCUCUACCACUUUUGGGAAUAGUUCUGGUCCUAAUUGCUGAAGUUUUGGGGGGACUGGAACCUGGUUCACCCUCUGUAACCCUACAAGAGGGCUACACUCUAUAGGACUGGUGCAAUUUUAGAUUAUUGGUACAAACUCUGGAGGCAGAAUUUUCUUGGAAGCUGGCCCUAGGUCUUCAGGUUACAUGAAGAAGAGCUCUGUGUAAGCUCGAAAGCUUGUCUCACUCACCAACAGAAGUUGGUCCAAUGAAAGAUAUUAUCUUA
Molecule: non-coding RNA, 1321 nt
Organism: Chrysemys picta bellii (western painted turtle)
Lineage: Eukaryota; Metazoa; Chordata; Testudines; Emydidae
Source: RefSeq, a predicted model, not a curated record